ACUCGAUCGUCAUCGCGCGAGCGUGCCGCCGCCGCUACGGAAAAGUAUGGAGGACAUUUCGUUGCCCCACGAUACCAGAGUCGAAGAUAUUUUAGCCGACUAUUUCACAAAGAAGAUCGAAGGGAAGGACGCAGAGGCCAAGGAGAAGCGCUCCGACUCGCAGCACAGUUCCAAGUCCAAGAAGUCCAAGAAGCGGAAGCACAAAAAGAAGAAAAAACACAAAUCACGAAAAGCUCAUUCAGGGAACGAGGAGGAUGAACCUGAUCGCUCCAGUGCAGAUGAAUGCUGGGUGGAGGUAACAGUAGGCAACGCCAAGGAGAACUCGGCCAAGGAUAAGUCAGAUAGUACUGACAAAGAACCAAAGAAGAAACUCAAGAGUAAGAGCAAGCAUAAAGACACUAGCGCUUCUUCAAAUACGGAUGCUGUAGCUGGUCAAGAUAUGCCAAAGGGAGAUAAGGAUGGUGCAUGCAAAGAUGACGACCACAGCAGCAAAGGUGGCAGUGAUCAGAAGGAGCCAACAAGUAAGGAUAACGUUAAGCAGCAGGCUGAACACUCUGGACGCUCAUCCAGAAAGUCAAGCUCAUCUACAUCUCCGGCCAAGAGCAACCGUGCUUCAAGUAGCUCAGACUCUGACGAUGAGCACAAAAAUGCGUCCACAGCAGAGCCUGCUAGCCAUACUUCAGAAGCAGAGUCAUCUAAAAAACCAACAAAAAAGAAAGGGCGAAGCUACAGGACAAAGCGCUGUCGAUCGUCUGGCUCAUCUGAAUCAUCCGAGGAUGACCAAGACAAGCAAAGCAGAAGUCGAAGCCGAAGCCUAUCGCACGGGGAGAGCCCUCGCCAUUCCAGGCAGAACAGGGCACGUAGUUCCAGCAGAAGCCGGCAUGGCACUCAAAGCAAGGAUUUGAGACGAGAAAGGAGCAAGGGCAGAGAUGAUAGAAAAUAUGACCGAUCACGAGAUCAUUCUCGUAGUCCGAAAAGGUCGAGUCCCAGUAGAAGCCAGCGUCGUGGCCGAAGUCGCAGCCAGCAGAGCCGUAGCCCCGGAAGAUUGAGGACUGGCCGCAGUCGCAGCCCAAGGCGGUCUGGAGGUAAUCACAGCCGUAGCCCAAGACGUACUGAAAGUCUUCGCUGCCGUAGCCCGAGACGGUCUGAAGGUCUUCGCAACCGCAGCCCGAGGCGUACUGAAGGUCAUCGCAGCCGUAGCCCGAGACGUUCCGAAGGUCAUCGCAGCCGCAGCCCAAAGCGUUCUGAAAAUCGUCGCAGCCCUAGCCCAAGCCGUAGUCGAAGGUGGUCAGAAAGCAAGCACAGCCGAGGUAGAACACCACCGAAGCGUAGUCAAAGCCGAAAAAGGUCAGAAAGUAGGCAGCGAGGUCGCCGUAGUCAAAGCCCUAGCUCUAAGCAAUCUCGACGAAGUACUAGUCGAGAUAAAAAGCAUGUCAGAAAAAGUCGAAGCCCUAAAGGAGAGAGGAAAAGUCGUAGUCGCAGCCGUAAGCGUUCAGUGAGCAAAGAAAGGUGCUCUUCACGACAUUCGAAAAGUGGCGAAAGGAAUUCUUCAGAUGAUGGCAAGUCUGAUGACAGAGAUAAAGGCAGGGAGGAGAAGACUUCCAGUGUAAAAGUGCCAGCAUCUGAUAAGAGCAGUGCAAGUUCUGUGGAUGCAGACAGUAAACAAAAACAGACAAAGUCUUCAGAAGAGAAAGCUAAAAGGGACAAAGUGACUGACAAAGAAAGUUCCACUGAUGCUGGCAAAAACCAGGUAGUUCUUUACGGACCGUUUGAGGAAGAAGCUAGUUUUGAUGAGGAACCAAGUCCCGAGAGAGCUGAACCAACUUCAAAACUUUUGCAGCCCGAGACAUGCUCAGGUGUUGCUGGCAAGACUUCGAAACACCAGCCAGCUACCAGUAGCCUUGAUGCAGUGCCGCUUCCAGCAGAGCCUGUUGCCCAGUCAGAAGACACUCUGCUAGAGGACAUGGACAUUUCAGACUCGCCAUCCUCCGGUGGAGUGCUAGAAGUAGAGGACAGCCUCAAUCAGAACCUUCCUUCUGGAGAAAAUCAGUGCUUGCCCUCCGUCACUUCUCGGCAUCAAACUGAAACCAGGGCCUCACAGCAGUGUGUGCAACCACAGAAGGUUGCCACACCUGAAGACACGUCAAAGAAGGCAACCCUUGCUAGAGCUGCGAUUCCUUGGAAUUAUAAUGAAGCACAGCCGCCACCACAGCCAUGGGUGAAGCCUGAAGUAACUAAGCCCGUAGGGCAAGUCAGGCCUUUUGUUAGAGAGGUCAGUUCGAAUGAGUCAGCAGUGCAAAAGGGUCUCUUGCAGGUUAAGCAGGAUGGAGUUGGUGCCAUCAUGGCUACAGUGCAGCCAUCGACUGAUCCUCCAUUGAGUGCACCCAGCAAGGCCACAAACAAAGCUGAAGAGCUGUCUGCUUUGGCAAGCCCUGCUGCAAAGGUGGCUGAGCAACCUGCUUUUCCUGAUCUUUCAGCAAAGCUACUGCCACAAAUGUCUCUCACGACUGUGUCGCCACCUGUAAAUGUGCACGGUGGGGCAUUGUAUUCGGCUACUGUGAUGCCAGUGCACGUCACUUCACAAUGUGUGGGUAUGCCAGGGCACGGUCAAGCUGGCCCUGGUGCUGUGCCGCCAGUCACGCAAGAAAAGCCCCCACAUGUAAUAGAGCAGCAGCAGCAGCAGCAAAGUCCACCCCAUGUUCAACAAAGCCGGGAUAAUCAGGGAUCGGACUCAGUGGACUCAAGUGGUGCUGCUUCCAAGGUUGUUGGCUCAACUGGAAGUGAAUCAGUCCCUUCAUCUCCCACCAAGGAGUCCAAAAAUGCAGAUACAGCUCCAGAUGUAGGUGCUGCAGAGAACAUCAAGGACACCAACGAGUCUGGGUGCUCGUCCAGAAGCUCUUCUCCAGCAGAGCGGCGAAGUCGAAGCAGUAGCAAGGAAAGAUUGAACUCUCGCAUGUCUAGAAGCUGUAGUGGGGACCGAGAAACCACAAAGCGAUCACGGAGUAGUGAAUCUCAAAGCCCAACCAAUGACAGCAAGCGGCUGCGCAAGGAUGACCGCACGGACUUGGAGAAAAGGAAAACAAAGAGUGAGAGUCAUGAUAGACGUGGUAGUGCAAGCCCAGACCGCAGUGCACGUGACAGUCGGGCUAGGAAGAAGAGCGUGAGCCCAGACAGAAAGCAGAGCAAGAGUCAUGACCGUAAGAGGAGCAAGAGCCGUGACAAGAGGCGGAGUAAAAGCCGUGACAGAAGAAGCAAGAGUCGGGACAGAUGUAGAAGCCAUAGUCGUGAUAGAAAGGGAAGCCCAAGCCGCAAACGGAGGAGAAGCAAGAGUCGCGAAAGAAGACCAAGCAAAAAUCGAGAACGAAAGAGAAGCAAGAGUCGGGACAGGAAGAGGAGCAAAAGCCGAGACAGGAAGAAGAGCAGGAGCCGGGAACGACAAAGGAGCAAAAGCCGUGAACGAAAAAGGAGCAAGAGUCGGGACCGGAGAAGAAGCAAAAGCCGUGAUAGGAGGAGGAGCCGAAGCCGAGACCGGAAGAGAAGCAAGAGCCGGGAACGGCGUAGUAGUGCAGUGCGCAGUAGUGGAGUGCGGUCGUCUCGAAGGAGAAGUGGCAGCAGGUCUCGCAGGAGCCGCAGCCGCGACCAAUCCAAGAGACAUAGCCGAAGCAGAGAGAGGAUGCGCCCUCAGCGAAGCCAGAGCAGGGGCAGAGACUCAAGCAGGAGGAGAUCUAGGGACAAAGAAAUGCCUAGGGGAUGCCUGAUCCUGAAGGGAUACAAGAACGAGCUUAGCAGUGAGUCCGAGAGCAGCCCCGAAAGAAAAAGCACAGUGAAGCCAUCUUCGCCAGUCAAAAAAAGACAGCGUAGGGAAAGUGAUGCUGAAAGCGUCGACUCUGAGGAGGAUAAGCCUGAAGACAACAGGGUAGCAUCACCAAUGAUGUCCGACACUAGUAAGCCUGAUGCAGAUGGUAAGGGUGAUCAUUGCGCAGAUAGUGGCAAAGAGAAAGAACUUCAAAAGCUUGCAUCCUCUGAAACAUUAGGGAGCAAGGAUAAACUCAAGGAUGCCCCAUAUGGGCCGCUUCCCCCAAAUGAAGCCAGCACUUCUCCAGCAGUCAUGGAAGUGCAGCACUCUGAUGAUGAAAUGGAUGAUGAGCAGGAUGUGCAGGCUGGCUCUGAUGGUUGCUCACCAAUGAAAACGAAACCAGAUGGUAAGGCACUUGGCGCUCCUGUUGUGAGCAGCAGUAGCUCUAAAGAGAGCAUUUGCUCGGUUAAGGACACCUUGGUGGCGAGUAGCGAAAGUCAGUCUGCCAGUCUCGAAGCUUCUCAGGACUGCAAAUUGCGUAGAAGUCCAGAACCGAAGCAAGACCGACAAGAAAAAAGUACAAAUAAAGAAGACAAGUCACACUGUGAGAAGUUAAUCAUCCCAAGCGGUGAAAGCGCAGUGUCGAGCUCAACUGGCAGCCCUGGAGAUCCAGAAGGGCAACCCAAAAUCAGGCCACUUUCUGGAACCUUGCACACAGAUAAGUUGAAUGAAGAGAAUUCACCCUCUGAGCAACGUCCAGUGGCCUGCACAGAUGACAGCGAUGAAAAGAAGCCAAGCACGAUGACAGUCGACAAAACUAGAGAAGCCAGCUGCAAUGAUGACACAAGGAGUACUUCAGACAGUGGACGCAAGAGUCGCAGCAGGAGUCCGUCAAGCACAUCUUCCAUUGAAAAAGCUAGGACAAGGAAGCAGUCUUCAUCGUCAAGCAGGAGUCGAAGUCAUGAGAGACAUACUUCUAAAGAGCCGAGCAAAAGCAGAAGCACCUCCCCAGACAGCCCCGGUGUGGAGAUUCGAGAUGAAAGUCCAGAAAAAAAAAGCCAAGGCAAAGUCAAGAAAAGAAGCCAUAGCAGAGAAAAGAAGAGAAGCAAAAGUCGAGAGAAGAAACAAAGUCCCAGCCGUAGUAGGGAAAAGAAGAGGAGUCAUAGUCGCGAAAAAAAGAGAAGCGUGAGCCGAGAGAAGAAAAGGAGCAAAAGUCGCGAGAGGAGAAUGAGCCCUAGUCGAGAUAGAAGUCGCCGCAGCAGGGAGAAGAAAAGAAGCAGAAGCCGAGAGAAAAAACGAAGUCCCAGCCGAGAAAAGAAGAGGAGCCGCAGUCGUGAGAAACGAAGGAGUCGUAGCAGAGAUAAAAGGAGGAGCCGCAGCCGCGACAAGAAGAGGAGCCGUAGUCGGGACAAGAAGAGAAGCCGCAGCCGAGAGAAGAAGCGAAGCAUAAGCAGAGAGAGGCGCAGGAGCCGUAGCCGAGACAGGAGGAGGAGCCGCAGCAGAGACAAGAAGAUUAGCCCCAUCCGGGACAGGAAGCGCAGCCGCAGCCGAGAGAGGAGGAGGAGUCGCGAUAAGAAUAGCCCGAGUCGGAGCCGAGACAGGCGGAGGAGCCGGAGCCGAGAGAGGAGGCGUAGCAGGAGCCGUGCACGACGAAGCUGGAGUCGGGCCAUGGAACUGCAGCGCAGACGGAGUGCUGAACGAUUGCGUAAGAAGAGCAGGAGCCCUCGGAAAAGAAGCCUGAGCAAGAGGAGGUCACCGCCGCCACGUAAGAAGAGUCGCAGCCGCAGCCGAAGCCGGCGGCGUUCUAGAACACACAGUCCAGAGAGAAAGAGAAAGAGCCGCAGCCGUGAAAGAAUGCUACCGCAAGGCCACAGCAACCAGCAGGGAGUACUCCUCAGCCACAGGAACAGAGAGAGCAGGGAGCCCUCAGUGGUCAAGGUGGACAAGGCCCAGCUGCUGGAGGCUGCUCGCAAGAACAUGCAGGCCAUGUUACAGCGUGGUGUGGUCGCCAAGGGUCUCCCCGUGGCUGCAGCGGCAGCUGUGAACGCGACUGUCAAAGGUCUGGAUGCGGAGUGAAAGAAACUUAGCAUUUGUCUGCUACUGGUGGCCUCUGGGGUAACAGUAGAAAAGGUGGUGGCAGCGGCAGUGGCAGCUGCUGCAGCUGAUCCGAAGUCAUCGCUGGCUGCCAGGUUGGAUGUGGGUGCGGCUGCGACUUCGACACCCCCGAGUGAGGCUCCAGUCUUGCCCUUGGCAUUGUCAGGAGAUGGCACGGGCCCC
This 6073-nucleotide unclassified non-coding RNA is filed under the name Dermacentor andersoni. RNAcentral's name for it is "serine/arginine repetitive matrix protein 2-like". Lineage: Eukaryota; Metazoa; Arthropoda; Arachnida; Ixodida; Ixodidae. The record is from RNAcentral.